This 232-nucleotide long non-coding RNA is filed under the name Elaeis guineensis (African oil palm). RNAcentral describes it as "long non-coding RNA (EGUI_LNC069299)". The record is from RNAcentral. Lineage: Eukaryota; Viridiplantae; Streptophyta; Magnoliopsida; Arecales; Arecaceae.
UGGAAGGAAGAUGGGAAGAAUAUUAUAAUUAGAGAAUGGAGGAGAUGAAGGUGGAGAAGAUUAUUUUAAUGGAAAGGAGUUGGUGGAACAUUGUUUUGUUGGAAUAAACAAUGGAAAGAAGCCUUUAAUGAUGAAGGUGCUUCUCUGGAGAUGGGAUGUGGAAGAAUAUUUUAAUAGGAAAUGAUUAAGAUGGAGCUGGACAGAGCUUAGUUUAUGUGGAACAUACAAAGGA